Molecule: ribosomal RNA, 273 nt
Filed under: uncultured bacterium
Lineage: Bacteria
Description: partial 16S ribosomal RNA
Rfam family: Bacterial small subunit ribosomal RNA
Source: RNAcentral
UACGGAGGAUGCGAGCGUUAUCCGGAUUCAUUGGGUUUAAAGGGUGCGCAGGCGGGGCAUUAAGUCAGUGGUGAAAUAAGACGGCUCAACUGUCUGGCUGCCAUUGAUACUGAUGUUCUAGAGUGUAAUUGGAGUGGGCGGAAUGUGUCAUGUAGCGGUGAAAUGCUUAGAUAUGACACAGAACACCGAUCGCGAAGGCAGCUCACUAAGUUAAUACUGACGCUCAUGCACGAAAGCGUGGGGAUCAAACAGGAUUAGAUACCCCCGUAGUCC